GAUGAACGCUGGCGGCGUGCCUAAUACAUGCAAGUCGAGCGAACGGACGAGAAGCUUGCUUCUCUGAUGUUAGCGGCGGACGGGUGAGUAACACGUGGAUAACCUACCUAUAAGACUGGGAUAACUUCGGGAAACCGGAGCUAAUACCGGAUAAUACUUUGAACCGCAUGGUUCAAAAGUGAAUGACGGUCUUGCUGUCACUUAUAGAUGGAUCCGCGCUGCAUUAGCUAGUUGGUAAGGUAACGGCUUACCAAGGCAACGAUGCAUAGCCGACCUGAGAGGAUGAUCGGCCACACUGGAACUGAGACACGGUCCAGACUCCUACGGGAGGCAGCAGUAGGGAAUAUUCCGCAAUGGGCGAAAGCCUGACGGAGCAACGCCGCGUGAGUGAUGAAGGUCUUCGGAUCGUAAAACUCUGUUAUUAGGGAAGAACAUAUGUGUAAGUAACUGUGCACAUCUUGACGGUACCUAAUCAGAAAGCAACGGCUAACUACGUG
RNAcentral lists this ribosomal RNA (497 nucleotides) under uncultured bacterium. Its description in RNAcentral is "partial 16S ribosomal RNA". It matches the Rfam family "Bacterial small subunit ribosomal RNA", at positions 28 to 507 of the family's 1533-position model. The record is from RNAcentral.